UGAGCAUCGCUGAUGAAUAUCCUAUUAUUGUUAUCCUUGCACUUUGAUUGCUAGUGAAGAAACCCAUGGGGAAAAUUUUUCUGAGAUGCUC
Molecule: non-coding RNA, 91 nt
Organism: Morus notabilis
Lineage: Eukaryota; Viridiplantae; Streptophyta; Magnoliopsida; Rosales; Moraceae
Source: Rfam